Molecule: ribosomal RNA, 450 nt
Filed under: uncultured Glomeromycotina
Lineage: Eukaryota; Fungi; Glomeromycota
Description: SSU rRNA
Rfam family: Eukaryotic small subunit ribosomal RNA
Source: RNAcentral
AGCAGCCGCGGUAAUUCCAGCUCCAAUAGCGUAUAUUAAAGUUGUUGCAGUUAAAAAGCUCGUAGUUGAAUUUCGGGGUCAGUAGGCUGGUCGUGCCACAGGUAUGUACUGGUCUUACUGAUUCCUCCUUCCUGAUGAACCGUAAUGCCAUUAAUUUGGUGUUGCGGGGAAUCUGGACUGUUACUUUGAAAAAAUUAGAGUGUUUAAAGCAGGCGAACGCUUGAAUACAUUAGCAUGGAAUAAUGAAAUAGGACGAUCGAUCCUAUUUUGUUGGUUUCUAGGAUUGACGUAAUGAUUAAUAGGGAUAGUUGGGGGCAUUAGUAUUCAAUUGUCAGAGGUGAAAUUCUUGGAUUUAUUGAAGACUAACUACUGCGAAAGCAUUUGCCAAGGAUGUUUUCAUUAAUCAAGAACGAAAGUUAGGGGAUCGAAGACGAUCAGAUACCGUCGUAG